UGUCACGGCGCGCCGCCUUAUAAGGAGUGCGCGUGGCGCGCGCCAUCACCUGACGCGUUCACUUCCUGCUUCCGAUAAAGCGCAGACGCCAUUACGACGUAGCCAUAGCCGGAUCCUCUCCAGCGUCCGGACGGGACCUGGCUUGAGACGCCAUGAGACACCGACUGAGAGAGCGCCCCAAGGCCGCGGCCGGCAGUGCCCGCUACCGGAGGAGAGCAAGGCGGGUCCCCAAAGAGACCUCUACCCCCGGGGACUGCGGUGCGGCCUGUGACGGGGCCUUGCUGUCCGAGCUGGACCAGCUGCUGUCCGCGGAGGAACCCGCCUCAUGGUGGAAGGAGGACCAGCGCCCAGAAGACCCUUCCCUCACCGACCUCCUGGAGGAGCUAGACGAAUACAUCCCGGAGUUGCGCCCCCUAGAGGAAGCCUCGUCCUCCCUCAUAAACAUCGAUGCAGUACCGCAGGUGGCCGCCAGGGGGCGCGGCGCCGCGAACAAGAACGCUGAGGCCGCCCGCCUGAACCGCCAGCGUAAGAAAGAAUACGUCAGCGGCCUGGAGUGCAAGGUGGCCCGGCUGUCCGACGAGAACACCCGGCUGGAGCGGGAGCGGAGGGCCCUGGGGCUCCGUGUCCGGGAGCUGGAGUCCGAGGCGCGGUACCUGAGGGCGGUGCUGGCCAAUGACAGCAAGUUAUCUCAACUCCUGAGCCGCCUGACCGGGGUGGGCGGAGUCAAGAUGUCUACGUCACUAUUCCGCGACACUGCGGAGAGGCCUGACGACCACGACUACGCGCUGCCAGGGCUUGUCUGUACAGCCAAGCCUGAGGAUGAGGAAGAAGCUGCUGCUGCAGCGCCAUCUGGUGGAGUGUGCCUGCAUGUGGACAAGGAGAAGGUGUCAGUGGAGUUCUGCUCGGCCUGUGCCCGGAGCGCAGCCUCUUCAGACAAAAUUUUCUCUUUUAGGUGAAUUGUCGGCCUCGCUCCAUUGCAGGAGUGUUUUAAGAGCGACCCUAUACGUCACGCAACUCGUGGAUUCUGCUGUAUGGGGCGGAAGAUUCGGGACCUGCUGCUCACGACACAUGUCCUGCUUUGUAAUAAAAGGUAGUAUGGUAACAGGAGGAGACCAGAGGUAAUGACAGGGCUUUCUUUUGUAAAAUGUAUUCAUAUCCCUGUUUUGUCUAUAAUGUGGGGAAUGACUUGGAUGUACAUGCAGAUGCUCUGUCUGGUUUCUGUAUCCCAUUAUAGUCUGUAAUGGCGGCCAGGAGCUGCUGGAUAGUAUGCCACGAGUCUUUCCAAGCUGCAAGUAACAUUGCUGUGACAUACAAGCCUAUAUUAUGAUGUACCUUUUUGUGAUGAUGCCUGCGCAUAUAUAUUUUUACAAAACUACAACUCCCACUAUGCCCGGACAGCCUUUGGGCAUACUGGGAAUUGUAGUUUAGCAACAGCUGGAGGCACCCUGGUUGGGGAAAUGCUGCUCUAACACUUGGCCUUACUGCUGUUGCAAAACUGCAACUCCCAGCAUGUCCAGACAGCCAGUGGGGCAUGCUGGGAGUUGUAGUUUUUGCAACAACUGGAGACACACUGUUUGGGAAAACUGCUGCUCUUACGGCUAGGAUGCAGUUAGUAUUUGGCAUUUAGUGACUUGCCCAAUAAUCGAUCAGGCAAAGUACAAAACUAAAAUUCAUUUUAGGGUUGGAUGAGAACAUAUCCAUUGUCUGCAAAACAGAUUUUAUUUUAAGGGUUCCUGUUAGAGAUGAGCGAACUUACAGUAAAUUCGAUUCGUCAUGAA
Molecule: RNA transcript, 1778 nt
Organism: Hyla sarda
Lineage: Eukaryota; Metazoa; Chordata; Amphibia; Anura; Hylidae
Gene: CREBZF
Gene name: CREB/ATF bZIP transcription factor
Exons: 3
Source: RefSeq, a predicted model, not a curated record